Molecule: transfer RNA, 72 nt
Filed under: Flammulina velutipes KACC42780
Lineage: Eukaryota; Fungi; Basidiomycota; Agaricomycetes; Agaricales; Physalacriaceae
Also listed under: 1 other name
Description: tRNA-Ile (TAT) (tRNA-Ile-TAT-1-1)
Rfam family: tRNA
About the family: Transfer RNA (tRNA) molecules are approximately 80 nucleotides in length.
Source: RNAcentral
GCCCGCGUAGCUCAGUGGUAGAGCAUUGUACUUAUGAUGCAAGGGUCUCCAGUUCAAUCCUGGGCGUGGGCA